UGGGGAAUAUUGCACAAUGGGCGCAAGCCUGAUGCAGCCAUGCCGCGUGUAUGAAGAAGGCCUUCGGGUUGUAAAGUACUUUCAGCGAGGAGGAAGGCAUUAAGGUUAAUAACCUUGAGUUGAUGACUGUACUCGCAGAAGAAGCACCGGCUAACUCCGUGCCAGCAGCCGCGGUAAUACGGAGGGUGCAAGCGUUAAUCGGAAUUACUGGGCGUAAAGCGCACGCAGGCGGUCUGUCAAGUCGGAUGUGAAAUCCCCGGGCUCAACCUGGGAACUGCAUUCGAAACUGACAGGCUAGAGUCUUGUAGA
This 309-nucleotide ribosomal RNA is filed under the name uncultured Enterobacteriaceae bacterium. RNAcentral describes it as "bacterial SSU rRNA". It matches the Rfam family "Bacterial small subunit ribosomal RNA", at positions 355 to 655 of the family's 1533-position model. Lineage: Bacteria; Pseudomonadati; Pseudomonadota; Gammaproteobacteria; Enterobacterales; Enterobacteriaceae. The record is from RNAcentral.